RNAcentral lists this transfer RNA (71 nucleotides) under Camelus ferus (Wild Bactrian camel). It matches the Rfam family "tRNA". Rfam says of the family: Transfer RNA (tRNA) molecules are approximately 80 nucleotides in length. Their secondary structure includes four short double-helical elements and three loops (D, anti-codon, and T loops). Lineage: Eukaryota; Metazoa; Chordata; Mammalia; Artiodactyla; Camelidae. The record is from Rfam by way of RNAcentral.
GAGGGUAUAGCUCAGUGGUAGAGUGCAUCCCUAGCACGCUGAGGCCCUGGGUUCAAUCCUCAGUACCUCCA